This 2247-nucleotide ribosomal RNA is filed under the name Helicobacter pylori. Its description in RNAcentral is "bacterial LSU rRNA". It matches the Rfam family "Bacterial large subunit ribosomal RNA", at positions 1 to 2186 of the family's 2925-position model. The record is from RNAcentral. Lineage: Bacteria; Pseudomonadati; Campylobacterota; Epsilonproteobacteria; Campylobacterales; Helicobacteraceae.
UAAGGCAGUGGUAGCGCUGAAGAAUAUUCGUGCAAUUGUCGUUAUUCAUUAUAAAAGGGCGGGUUUUAAAGGAUAUUUUAAAAUUUAAAACAAGCUUUUAAGAGCAGAUGGCGGAUGCCUUGCCAAAGAGAGGCGAUGAAGGACGUACUAGACUGCGAUAAGCUAUGCGGAGCUGUCAAGGAGCUUUGAUGCGUAGAUGUCCGAAUGGGGCAACCCAACUAAUAGAGAUAUUAGUUACUCUUUAAUAGAGAGCGAACCUAGUGAAGUGAAACAUCUCAGUAACUAGAGGAAAAGAAAUCAACGAGAUUCCCUAAGUAGUGGCGAGCGAACGGGGAAAAGGGCAAACCGAGUGCUUGCAUUCGGGGUUGAGGACUGCAACAUCCAAGAGAACGCUUUAGCAGAGUUACCUGGAAAGGUAAGCCAUAGAAAGUGAUAGCCUUGUAUGCGACAAGGCGUUCUUAGGUAGCAGUAUCCAGAGUAGGCCAGGACACGAGAAAUCCAGGUUGAAGCCGGGGAGACCACUCUCCAACCCUAAAUACUACUCUUUGAGCGAUAGCGAACAAGUACCGUGAGGGAAAGGUGAAAAGAACCGCAGUGAGCGGAGUGAAAUAGAACCUGAAACCAUCUGCUUACAAUCAUUCAGAGCCCUAUGAUUUAUCAGGGUGAUGGACUGCCUUUUGCAUAAUGAUCCUGCGAGUUGUGGUAUCUGGCAAGGUUAAGCGAAUGCGAAGCCGUAGCGAAAGCGAGUCUUAAUAGGGCGCUUAAGUCAGAUGCUGCAGACCCGAAGCUAAGUGAUCUAUCCAUGGCCAAGUUGAAACGCGUGUAAUAGCGCGUGGAGGACUGAACUCGUACCCAUUGAAACGGGUUGGGAUGAGCUGUGGAUAGGGGUGAAAGGCCAAACAAACUUAGUGAUAGCUGGUUCUCUUCGAAAUAUAUUUAGGUAUAGCCUCAAGUGAUAAUAAAAGGGGGUAGAGCCCUGAUUGGGCUAGGGCUGCUCGCCGCGGUACCAAACCCUAUCAAACUUCGAAUACCUUUUAUCGUAUCUUGGGAGUCAGGCGGUGGGUGAUAAAAUCAAUCGUCAAAAGGGGAACAACCCAGACUACCAAAUAAGGUCCCUAAGUUCUAUUCUGAGUGGAAAAAGAUGUGUGGCUACUCAAACAACCAGGAGGUUGGCUUAGAAGCAGCCAUCCUUUAAAGAAAGCGUAACAGCUCACUGGUCUAGUGGUCAUGCGCUGAAAAUAUAACGGGGCUAAGAUAGACACCGAAUUUGUAGAUUGUGUUAAACACAGUGGUAGAAGAGCGUUCAUACCAGCGUUGAAGGUAUACCGGUAAGGAGUGCUGGAGCGGUAUGAAGUGAGCAUGCAGGAAUGAGUAACGAUAAGAUAUAUGAGAAUUGUAUCCGCCGUAAAUCUAAGGUUUCCUACGCGAUGGUCGUCAUCGUAGGGUUAGUCGGGUCCUAAGCCGAGUCCGAAAGGGGUAGGUGAUGGCAAAUUGGUUAAUAUUCCAAUACCGACUAUGGAGCGUGAUGGGGGGACGCAUAGGGUUAAGCGAGCUAGCUGAUGGAAGCGCUAGUCUAAGGGCGUAGAUUGGAGGGAAGGCAAAUCCACCUCUGUAUUUGAAACCCAAACAGGCUCUUUGAGUCCUUUUAGGACAAAGGGAGAAUCGCUGAUACCGUCGUGCCAAGAAAAGCCUCUAAGCAUAUCCAUAGUCGUCCGUACCGCAAACCGACACAGGUAGAUGAGAUGAGUAUUCUAAGGCGCGUGAAAGAACUCUGGUUAAGGAACUCUGCAAACUAGCACCGUAAGUUCGCGAUAAGGUGUGCCGCAGCAAUGCGGUCUCAGCAAAGAGUCCCUCCCGACUGUUUACCAAAAACACAGCACUUUGCCAACUCGUAAGAGGAAGUAUAAGGUGUGACGCCUGCCCGGUGCUCGAAGGUUAAGAGGAUGCGUCAGUCGCAAGAUGAAGCGUUGAAUUGAAGCCCGAGUAAACGGCGGCCGUAACUAUAACGGUCCUAAGGUAGCGAAAUUCCUUGUCGGUUAAAUACCGACCUGCAUGAAUGGCGUAACGAGAUGGGAGCUGUCUCAACCAGAGAUUCAGUGAAAUUGUAGUGGAGGUGAAAAUUCCUCCUACCCGCGGCAAGACGGAAAGACCCCGUGGACCUUUACUACAACUUAGCACUGCUAAUGGGAAUAUCAUGCGCAGGAUAGGUGGGAGGCUUUGAAGUAAGGGCUUUGGCUCUUAUGGAGC